Molecule: transfer RNA, 75 nt
Filed under: Acetobacterium paludosum
Lineage: Bacteria; Bacillati; Bacillota; Clostridia; Eubacteriales; Eubacteriaceae
Also listed under: 1 other name
Description: tRNA-Glu
Rfam family: tRNA
About the family: Transfer RNA (tRNA) molecules are approximately 80 nucleotides in length. Their secondary structure includes four short double-helical elements and three loops (D, anti-codon, and T loops).
Source: RNAcentral
GGCCCCUUGGUCAAGUGGUUAAGACACCGCCCUUUCACGGCGGUAACAGGGGUCCGAGUCCCCUAGGGGUCACCA